UUGCCAUUCAGUGGUUUGCCACUCUACUCCGAGCUCCACGCCUGAACCCACUUCUCCAUUUGAACGGGACUUAUUAUUACUGAUAGCUGCAGCCCGUUCCACCGGCGGCUCCCUGGGCUCUAGCCUGGCUAUCCUAUCCCAGGUGAAUGACAGUUUUAGCCUCGGCACUUCACUCUCUCGUUCCCCGACACUUCACGGACGGAACUCCUGACGAGUGCCUGCCAUUUACGUUUAUGUUUAUCUGUAUAGUUAUUUGUGUGAGAUUAUGUAUAUUAUGAUGAAUAUAACUAUGAAGGCGCAA
This is a long non-coding RNA of Penaeus monodon (black tiger shrimp), 301 nucleotides long. RefSeq lists it as uncharacterized. The transcript has 2 exons. Lineage: Eukaryota; Metazoa; Arthropoda; Malacostraca; Decapoda; Penaeidae. The record is from RefSeq and is a predicted model, not a curated record.